UUAUCUUGAAUAUUAUUAUAGAUAGAGAUAAACUGUAAACAGCAAUAAUGUUCAGCAAAGUAAGAUUUACAAAUAAGUCAAACAUGACCGAAAUGGUCAAUUGACCCCCUAAGGAGUUAUUGUCCUUUAUAGUCAAUUUUUAACAAUUUUCAUAAAAUUUGUAAAUUUUUAUUAACAUUUUCCACUGAAACUACUGGGCCAAGUUCAUUAUAGAUAGAGAUAAUUGUAAGCAGCAAAAUGUUUUAGUAAAGUUAAAUGAAAUUCAAACACAUCACCAUCACCAAAACACAAUUUUGUCAUGAAUCCAUCUGC
This 312-nucleotide long non-coding RNA is filed under the name Mytilus galloprovincialis (Mediterranean mussel). Lineage: Eukaryota; Metazoa; Mollusca; Bivalvia; Mytilida; Mytilidae. The record is from RNAcentral.